CACUUAUUUAGUAGGUAGUGAUUUAGGACACAGCCAUGUGAACUUUAUUCUGAGGCUGUGACCGUUUCCUGCUCUGUUGAGUCGUUAUACAAACUCAAAUGGGCAGGUUAGUUGUAAACACUCGAAUGUGGUUUAGUUAACCUAGUUUGCUGCAAGGUGGACGGGCCUGAGGCCAUCGCUUGGCGCUCCAGGCAGAAGCCAUGCAGCAGAAGAGGAACAUCCAAAUCAUAGAAUGGGAGGACUUGGACAAGCGCAAGUUCUACUCUUUCGGUGUCUUUAUGACCAUGACUAUCCGUGCUACGGUCUACCCUGCCAUGCUCAUCCGCACCAGGCUGCAAGUUCAGAAGGGAAAAACUCUAUAUAGCGGCACCUAUGACGCCUUCCGGAAAAUCCUGAGCGCUGAGGGGAUUAGAGGAUUUUACAGAGGCUUCAUGGUGAACACCUUUACGCUCAUAUCAGGGCAGGCUUAUAUCACGACGUAUGAGGUGGUAAGGAAGUACGUCUCCAAGUACUCCAAGGACAACACUGUAAAGUCGCUGGUGGCAGGAGGGUCAGCAUCUCUUGUUGCCCAGAGUAUAACAGUCCCCAUCGACGUGAUCUCUCAGCAGCUCAUGAUGCAGGGUGAAGGGCAGCAUCUGACACGCUUUAAAGUGAAAUCAAAUGCGACAUGUGGAGCAAAGCAAAGUGUUAGCUUUGGACAGACAAGAGACAUUAUAGGUCAGAUAUUUGCAGCUGAUGGGUUCCGUGGGUUUUACAGAGGAUAUGUGGCAUCUCUUCUCACAUACAUACCCAACAGCGCAGUCUGGUGGCCUUUUUACCACUUUUAUGCUGCUGAAGGAGAAAAUAGGCGAACAGCUCUCCAAAAUGGCACCGAGUGACUGCCCACAUUUAGUACUGCAAGCCAUGGCUGGACCACUAGCAGCUGCCACUUCAUCCACUGUCACCAAUCCGAUGGAUGUCGUACGAGCCAGAGUUCAGGUUGAAGGCAGGACAUCAGUCAUUGAGACAUUCAAGGAGCUGCUCAGAGAAGAAGGAUUCUGGGGGAUGACCAAGGGUCUUUCUGCCCGCAUCAUAUCCUCCACUCCUACAGCUAUAGUUAUGGUUCUCGGCUACGAAACUCUGAAAAAACUGAGCCUUCGUCCAGAGCUGGUUGAUUCCAGGCACUGGUGAAGGAGCUGUUGAUGUCUGAUCAGUGACGUCCUUAGACAAAGUCCAUUUUAGAUUUUUUCUUUUAAACAUGUUGUCUCAUGGCUUUUUUGUGUGUUGAUGUCAUUUUAAAAUUGGUGGUAAAGGGUGUUUUUAUUAUUAUUAUUUGUUUUUAUUUGUCAUUACUGUAAUUGAAAUGCUGUUAUAGUUUGUGAGGAACUCUGCUUUCUUAAAAACUGUAAAAAUAUUUUAUUGGAAACAUAGGCAUUUUAAUGUGUUAAUUUAUUUUUGUUACUAACUAGUUUUUUUUUGUUGUUGUUUAUUUCCGUGGGGUUACGUUUGUUUCAGAAUUCCUUGCUACUUGUCCUUUGACACUUUGUGUUAAGUGCUGCACUGAAUAAUGUUCAGACGACAUCUCAUUUUAAAAUUCUAAUUUCUAAUCAUGGAAAGAGUGACAUUUAUUUUUAAAACAGGAUAAAGUGUACUGCUUGCACAGAAUGAGUAAGAAAAUAUGCAGUGUGAUUGUAAUGCUCUAAAAAUUCAGUAUAAAGAUGCAAUCUGUCAAAAG
Molecule: RNA transcript, 1714 nt
Organism: Tachysurus fulvidraco (yellow catfish)
Lineage: Eukaryota; Metazoa; Chordata; Actinopteri; Siluriformes; Bagridae
Gene: slc25a44b
Gene name: solute carrier family 25 member 44b
Exons: 5
Source: RefSeq, a predicted model, not a curated record